GAUGGACGCUGGCGGCGCGCCUAACACAUGCAAGUCGAACGAUUAAAGCACCUUCGGGUGUGUAUAAAGUGGCGAACGGCUGAGUAACACGUGGGCAACCUGCCCCUUUCAUUGGGAUAGCCACGGGAAACCGUGGAUAAUACCGAAUACUUCGAGACUUCCGCAUGGAAGACUCGAGAAAGCUCCGGCGGAGAGGGAUGGGCCCGCGGCCUGUUAGCUUGUUGGUGGGGUAACGGCCUACCAAGGCAAUGAUGGGUAGCUGGGUUGAGAGACCGACCAGCCAGAUUGGGACUGGGACACGGCCCAGACUCCUACGGGAGGCAGCAGUGGGGAAUCUUGCACAAUGGGCGAAAGCCUGAUGCAGCGACGCCGCGUGCGGGAUGAAGGCCUUCGGGUUGUAAACCGCUUUCAGCAGGGAUGAGGCGAAAGUGACGGUACCUGCAGAAGAAGCCCCGGCUAACUACGUG
RNAcentral lists this ribosomal RNA (467 nucleotides) under uncultured bacterium. RNAcentral describes it as "partial 16S ribosomal RNA". It matches the Rfam family "Bacterial small subunit ribosomal RNA", at positions 28 to 507 of the family's 1533-position model. The record is from RNAcentral.